CAUACAUCAUGUAUUAAACAGGGACUAACCAAGUCUCAGGGCCAAGCACAGUACUAAUCCAUAAACAUAUUAUCUUACAAUCUAUUACAUCACAUACAUUCCUUUAAUCUACAUCAUGUCCACUACUCUAUUACAUAGCCAAAACCUUUACCCUUGACGUCUUCCUGGACUACCUCUGACCUGCAAAACUGGGGUUAGGGGAGAGGGG
RNAcentral lists this long non-coding RNA (208 nucleotides) under Manihot esculenta (cassava). RNAcentral's name for it is "long non-coding RNA (MESC_LNC005587)". Lineage: Eukaryota; Viridiplantae; Streptophyta; Magnoliopsida; Malpighiales; Euphorbiaceae. The record is from RNAcentral.